This is a non-coding RNA of Thermosinus carboxydivorans Nor1, 173 nucleotides long. Lineage: Bacteria; Bacillati; Bacillota; Negativicutes; Selenomonadales; Sporomusaceae. The record is from Rfam.
CCCAUUGCGAGAUGGGAUCCUAAGGAAGUCGGCGGCAAAUCUUCGUUCUGAGGGAAACGAACCGCAAAUGAGGCUAGGGGCAGUUGGUUGAGCUUGCGUUACAAAGCAAAGUCCUUGCUACCGAAGGUUGCCCAGAGUAACUGCGGCAGGUAGAUGGAGAGAAAGACACUGCU